RNAcentral lists this ribosomal RNA (497 nucleotides) under uncultured bacterium. RNAcentral's name for it is "partial 16S ribosomal RNA". It matches the Rfam family "Bacterial small subunit ribosomal RNA", at positions 28 to 507 of the family's 1533-position model. The record is from RNAcentral.
GAUGAACGCUGGCGGCGUGCCUAAUACAUGCAAGUCGAGCGAACAGACGAGGAGCUUGCUCCUCUAACGUUAGCGGCGGACGGGUGAGUAACACGUGGAUAACCUACCUAUAAGACUGGGAUAACUUCGGGAAACCGGAGCUAAUACCGGAUAAUAUAUUGAACCGCAUGGUUCAAUAGUGAAAGACGGUUUUGCUGUCACUUAUAGAUGGAUCCGCGCCGCAUUAGCUAGUUGGUAAGGUAACGGCUUACCAAGGCGACGAUGCGUAGCCGACCUGAGAGGGUGAUCGGCCACACUGGAACUGAGACACGGUCCAGACUCCUACGGGAGGCAGCAGUAGGGAAUCUUCCGCAAUGGGCGAAAGCCUGACGGAGCAACGCUGCGUGAGUGAUGAAGGUCUUCGGAUCGUAAAACUCUGUUAUUAGGGAAGAACAAAUGUGUAAGUAACUAUGCACGUCUUGACGGUACCUAAUCAGAAAGCCACGGCUAACUACGUG